AUUGAACGCUGGCGGCAGGCUUAACACAUGCAAGUCGAGCGGAGAUGAGGUGCUUGCACCUUAUCUUAGCGGCGGACGGGUGAGUAAUGCUUAGGAAUCUGCCUAUUAGUGGGGGACAACAUUCCGAAAGGAAUGCUAAUACCGCAUACGUCCUACGGGAGAAAGCAGGGGAUCUUCGGACCUUGCGCUAAUAGAUGAGCCUAAGUCGGAUUAGCUAGUUGGUGGGGUAAAGGCCUACCAAGGCGACGAUCUGUAGCGGGUCUGAGAGGAUGAUCGGCCACACUGGGACUGGGACACGGCCCAGGCUCCUACGGGAGGCAGCAGUGGGGAAUAUUGGACAAUGGGGGGAACCCUGAUCCAGCCAUGCCGCGUGUGUGAAGAAGGCCUUAUGGUUGUAAAGCACUUUAAGCGAGGAGGAGGCUACUGAGACUAAUACUCUUGGAUAGUGGACGUUACUCGCAGAAUAAGCACCGGCUAACUCUGUGCCAGCAGCCGCCGUAA
RNAcentral lists this ribosomal RNA (501 nucleotides) under uncultured bacterium. RNAcentral's name for it is "partial 16S ribosomal RNA". It matches the Rfam family "Bacterial small subunit ribosomal RNA", at positions 30 to 523 of the family's 1533-position model. The record is from RNAcentral.